This 339-nucleotide long non-coding RNA is filed under the name Lathyrus oleraceus (garden pea). RNAcentral describes it as "Pisum sativum (pea) long non-coding RNA (PSAT_LNC014406)". The record is from RNAcentral. Lineage: Eukaryota; Viridiplantae; Streptophyta; Magnoliopsida; Fabales; Fabaceae.
UUCUUUUCCUUUCUCUUUUUUUUUUCUUUUUUUUUUCUUUUCAUAAGGAGUAUGUAUUGACAUGUAUACAUCCUUCUAUUUUUUUUCAUUCAUUUUUUUUUCGUUUCUAUUUUCUUUUUCUAUUUUUCUUUUCUUUUUCUACCAACUUCUGAAAUAUUGCAAACAUAAUUAUUCAACCCCACACAACUCCAAACAAGACUCUUUCAACCCUUUGAAUAGGACUAUUUUUCUUUUCUUUUUCUACCAACUUCUGAAAUAUUGCAAACAUAAUUAUUCAACCCCACACAACUCCAAACAAGACUCUUUCAACCCUUUGAAUAGGGUGAUAUAACAUUGUUU